GGGCGCAUAGCUCAGCUGGUUAGAGCGCUGUGUUCACAUCGCAGAGGUCCCUGGUUCGAGUCCAGGUGCGCCCA
This 74-nucleotide transfer RNA is filed under the name Oceanibacterium hippocampi. RNAcentral describes it as "Sneathiella sp. BFLP-8 tRNA". It matches the Rfam family "tRNA". Rfam says of the family: Transfer RNA (tRNA) molecules are approximately 80 nucleotides in length. The record is from Rfam by way of RNAcentral. Lineage: Bacteria; Pseudomonadati; Pseudomonadota; Alphaproteobacteria; Sneathiellales; Sneathiellaceae.